UACGGAGAGUGCAAGCGUUGUUCGGAAUUAUUGGGCGUAAAGCGCAUGUAGGCGGCUUGACAAGUCUGGCGUGAAAGCCUGGGGCUCAACCUCAGAAGUGCGCUGGAAACUGUCGAGCUUGAGUACCGGAGGGGAAGGUGGAAUUCUCGAGUGUAGAGGUGAAAUUCGUAGAUAUCGGGAGGAACACCUAUGGCGAAGGCAGGUGCCUGGGCCUUUACUGACGCUGAGACUCGAAAGCUAGGGGAGCAAACAGG
Molecule: ribosomal RNA, 254 nt
Filed under: uncultured bacterium
Lineage: Bacteria
Description: partial 16S ribosomal RNA
Rfam family: Bacterial small subunit ribosomal RNA
Source: RNAcentral